AAACUCAAAGGAAUUGACGGGGGCCCGCACAAGCGGUGGAGCAUGUGGUUCAAUUCGACGCAACGCGCAGAACCUUACCAGCCCUUGACAUGGGACUCGCCGGGAGCAGAGACGCUCCCUUCGGUUCGGCCGGAGUCCGCACAGGUGCUGCAUGGCUGUCGUCAGCUCGUGUCGUGAGAUGUUGGGUUAAGUCCCGCAACGAGCGCAACCCUCGUCUCCAGUUGCCAUCAGGUUAAGCUGGGCACUUUGGAGAAACUGCCGGUGACAAGCCGGAGGAAGGUGGGGAUGACGUCAAGUCCUCAUGGCCCUUACGGGCUGGGCUACACACGUGCUACAAUGGCGGUGACAAUGGGAAGCAAUGGCGCGAGCCGGAGCCGAUCCUUAAAAACCGUCUCAGUUCGGAUUGCACUCUGCAACUCGAGUGCAUGAAGGUGGAAUCGCUAGUAAUCGAGGAUCAGCAUGCCUCGGUGAAUACGUUCCCGGGCCUU
Molecule: ribosomal RNA, 488 nt
Filed under: uncultured Rhodospirillales bacterium
Lineage: Bacteria; Pseudomonadati; Pseudomonadota; Alphaproteobacteria; Rhodospirillales
Description: bacterial SSU rRNA
Rfam family: Bacterial small subunit ribosomal RNA
Source: RNAcentral